Molecule: ribosomal RNA, 252 nt
Filed under: uncultured bacterium
Lineage: Bacteria
Description: partial 16S ribosomal RNA
Rfam family: Bacterial small subunit ribosomal RNA
Source: RNAcentral
UACGUAGGUCCCGAGCGUUGUCCGGAUUUAUUGGGCGUAAAGCGAGCGCAGGCGGUUAGAUAAGUCUGAAGUUAAAGGCUGUGGCUUAACCAUAGUACGCUUUGGAAACUGUUUAACUUGAGUGCAAGAGGGGAGAGUGGAAUUCCAUGUGUAGCGGUGAAAUGCGUAGAUAUAUGGAGGAACACCGGUGGCGAAAGCGGCUCUCUGGGCUGCACCUGACGCUGAGAUGCGAAAGUGUGGGGAGCAAACGGG